RNAcentral lists this ribosomal RNA (450 nucleotides) under uncultured bacterium. RNAcentral's name for it is "partial 16S ribosomal RNA". It matches the Rfam family "Bacterial small subunit ribosomal RNA", at positions 338 to 795 of the family's 1533-position model. The record is from RNAcentral.
CCUACGGGUGGCUGCAGUAAGGAAUAUUGGUCAAUGGACGCAAGUCUGAACCAGCCAUGCCGCGUGGAGGAUGAAGGUCCUCUGGAUUCUAAACUUCUUUUAUUUGGGAAGAAACUCCCGAUUUCCAUAGGGAUUGACGGUACCAGAUGAAUAAGCACCGGCUAACUCCGUGCCAGCAGCCGCGGUAAUACGGAGGGUGCCAGAGUUAUCCGGAUUAAAGGGGGUGAAGGUGUGCAGAUAAGGGCGUGGUGAAAUCUCCGGGCUUAACCCGGAAACUGCCAUUGAUACUAUUGGUCUUGAAUACUCUGGAGGUGAGCGGAAUAUGUCAUGUAGCGGUGAAAUGCUUAGAUAUGACAUAGAACACCCAUUGCGAAGGCAGCUCACUACGGAAAUAUUGACGCUGAGGCACGAAAGCGUGGGGAUCAAACAGGAUUAGAUACCCUAGUAGUC